GUGGGGAAUCUUCCGCAAUGGACGAAAGUCUGACGGAGCAACGCCGCGUGAGUGAUGAAGGUCUUCGGAUUGUAAAGCUCUGUUAAUCGGGACGAAAGAGCCUAGUGUGAAUAAUGCUAGGAAGUGACGGUACCGGAAUAGAAAGCCACGGCUAACUACGUGCCAGCAGCCGCGGUAAUACGUAGGUGGCAAGCGUUGUCCGGAAUUAUUGGGCGUAAAGCGCGCGCAGGCGGAUCUGCCAGUCUGUCUUAAAAGUUCGGGGCUUAACCCCGUGAUGGGAUGGAAACUACAGAUCUAGAGUAUCGGAGAGGAAAGUGGAAUUCCUAGUGUAGCGGUGAAAUGCGUAGAUAUUAGGAAGAACACCAGUGGCGAAGGCGGCUUGCUGGACAUUAACUGACGCUGAGGCGCGAAAGCGUGGGGAGCAAACAGGAUUAGAAACCCCGGUAGUCC
Molecule: ribosomal RNA, 450 nt
Filed under: uncultured bacterium
Lineage: Bacteria
Description: partial 16S ribosomal RNA
Rfam family: Bacterial small subunit ribosomal RNA
Source: RNAcentral